ACUGUGUUUGCAGGCAAACCUGCCUAUGAAAUGUUGGAGUGUGAUCCUGACUGGGCCCCUUCUCUGUACCUCGGCCAUACUGAGGUCAAAGCUACAAACAGCAACCCCCAUCGCUAGGCACUGACAACACUGGUCCUGAGGCUGAGUUGGAAGCUCACAUGAAUCAACCCCCAUCGCCAGGCACUGACCACACUGGUACUGAGGCUGAGUUGGAUAAUGCAGCACCUUUAUACCCAGACAACACUACACCUGCAACUGAGAUGGAAGGUCCCGUGAAUACACCCCCAUCGCCGACCACACCGGUCAUGAGACUGAGUUGAAUGAAGAAGCACAUUUGUUCCCAGACUACUCUGCACCUCUGGCUGAGAUGGAAGGACAAGAGACUCGGCCCCUACCACCAGCACCAGACAAUGCAGGGAGAGAGGAAGAUAUGGAAACUGAAACAUCAGGGGAUGAUGGUGCCCCAAUGGAGACUGCAGAUGAACAGCAGAAGUGCACCAUGUGUGGCCUCAGACUCAAAGAAAUAAUCCGCUUGCAGGAGGAGAAUCGAAAACUGAAGGGAGAGCUCUCCAAAAAGGCCCUGGAUGAGAAUUAUCAUCAUAAGCAGAUCACCAAGAACUGUGGCUUUCUUCUGAAGAUCUCGCCUGGAGACCUAGUGUUAGCGGACCGUGGAUUUGAUAUUAAAGAAAGUGUUGCCCUUGUGGGUGCUACACGAAAAUACCUGCCUUCACCAGGGGCCACAGCCAACUUAAUGCAAAAGAUGUGGAAGAGACCAGGAAGUUAGCUCAUGUCAGGAUCCACGUGGAGCGAGUGAUAGGGUGUAUGCGCUCUAAGUUUAACAUAUUAAAUGACACAAUAUGCCUGGGAUUUGUGGUGCCUUGUGAGGAUAAGACUUUACUGGCUAAAAUUGUGGUUGUGUGCUGUGCUUUGACCAAUAUGUGUCCAAGUAUUGUUGUGAAGCCGUCGUGUUAGAAUUAUACACCAUACUCACAUCUAAUAUGUAAAUGUUUUUUUGUUUCCCAAAAGAUUUUGUAACUUCACUUCUCACA
Long non-coding RNA from Perca fluviatilis (European perch), 1049 nucleotides. RefSeq lists it as uncharacterized. NCBI's taxonomy places the organism in Eukaryota, Metazoa, Chordata, Actinopteri, Perciformes, Percidae. The transcript has 3 exons. The record is from RefSeq and is a predicted model, not a curated record.